CUACAUUUUUUUUCUCAACAGACGACCUAAUAUACUGAAUGAAAAGUUCCUCUAAAAAGGAAAUAGGACACUGCUUCAUCGUGUGACUGGCAGCUGGUACUGUGCCCAACAUAGCAGCGACAUCAGACUGGAAGAGGAACCUCGUGAAUGAGAAGCAGGACUGUGAGAUCUGGACUGAGUGCACUCCCUUUGCCCAACACCAGUAGAUGACCCAGCAAGCAAACUUGGACUUUCCUCAGAUGUGGAGAAGUGACACAGCAUGGCAUAGUGUAAUAAGCUGGAAAAAAGAUUCAAGACAUUGUAAAUACCACUAAAAAACCACUUGUCUAAUAUCUCUGAUCCAAGCUGCAAUUGAUACAGUCCUUUGAGAUUUACAAAGUCCCAGAAGAACUCUGAACAAUGCCACAACAAACCACAUUUCCAGAGGACCAGUAAUGAUGGAUCAGGCUACCUGCCUCCUGCCAGAGAGGUAAUGGCUUCAUGGUAAAG
RNAcentral lists this long non-coding RNA (489 nucleotides) under Monodelphis domestica (gray short-tailed opossum). RNAcentral describes it as "lncRNA (ENSMODG00000039156.1)". The record is from RNAcentral. Lineage: Eukaryota; Metazoa; Chordata; Mammalia; Didelphimorphia; Didelphidae.